UUUCCGUAGGUGAACCUGCGGAAGGAUCAUUAGUGAAUUUGGGCAUUCGGAAGAGGCCCAUCCCCACUCUCCAACUCUGUGCACUUUUUGGCGGGUAAACUUUUAGCUCUUUUGAGCUGAUAUUUUCCUGCGGCUUUACUUUUCAAACACCUGUAAAAUGAAUGUAAAACAAACCAUAACAAAAUAAAACUUUCAACAACGGAUCUCUUGGCUCUG
RNAcentral lists this unclassified non-coding RNA (216 nucleotides) under plant metagenome. RNAcentral's name for it is "partial contains small subunit ribosomal RNA, internal transcribed spacer 1, and 5.8S ribosomal RNA". The record is from RNAcentral.